AGGGUUUGAUCAUGGCUCAGAAUGAACGCUGGCGGCACGCUUAACACAUGCAAGUCGAACGAGAUCUUCGGAUCUAGUGGCAGACGGGUGAGUAACGCGUGGGAACCUGCCCAGUAGUAGAGAAUAACUUGGGGAAACUUAAGCUAAUACUUUAUACGUCCUUCGGGAGAAAGCUUUAUGCGCUAUUGGAUGGGCCCGCGUUAGAUUAGUUUGUUGGUGAGGUAACGGCUCACCAAGGCGACGAUCUAUAGCUGGUCUGAGAGGAUGAUCAGCCACACUGGGACUGAGACACGGCCCAGACUCCUACGGGAGGCAGCAGUGGGGAAUAUUGGACAAUGGGGGCAACCCUGAUCCAGCGAUGCCGCGUGAGUGAUGAAGGCCCUAGGGUUGUAAAGCUCUUUCGUCGGGGAAGAAAAUGACUGUACCCGAAUAAGAAGGUCCGGCUAACUUCGUGCCAGCAGCCGCGGUAAUACGAAGGGACCUAGCGUAGUUCGGAAUUACUGGGCUUAAAGAGUUCGUAGGUGGUUAAAAAAGUUGGUGGUGAAAUCCCAGAGCUUAACUCUGGAACUGCCAUCAAAACUUUUUAGCUAGAGUAUGAUAGAGGAAAGCAGAAUUUCUAGUGUAGAGGUGAAAUUCGUAGAUAUUAGAAAGAAUACCAAUUGCGAAGGCAGCUUUCUGGAUCAUUACUGACGCUGAGGAACGAAAGCAUGGGUAGCGAAGAGGAUUAGAUACCCUCGUAGUCCAUGCCGUAAACGAUGUGUGUUAGACGUUGGAAAUUUAUUUUCAGUGUCGCAGCGAAAGCGAUAAACACACCGCCUGGGGAGUACGACCGCAAGGUUAAAACUCAAAUGAAUUGACGGGGACCCGCACAAGUAGUGGAGCAUGUGGUUUAAUUCGAAGAUACGCGCAGAACCUUACCAACACUUGACAUGUUCGUCGCGACUUUAAGAGAUUAAAGUUUUCGGUUCGGCCGGACGAAACACAGGUGCUGCAUGGCUGUCGUCAGCUCGUGUCGUGAGAUGUUGGGUUAAGUCCCGCAACGAGCGCAACCCUCACUUUUAGUUGCCAUCAUUAAGUUGGGCACUCUGAAAGAACUGCCAGUGAUAAGCUGGAGGAAGGUGGGGAUGACGUCAAGUCCUCAUGGCCCUUACGUGUUGGGCUACACACGUGCUACAAUGGUAUCUACAACAGGAAGCAAAACUGCGAAGUUAAGCAAAUCCUUAAAAGAUACCUCAGUUCGGAUUGCACUCUGCAACUCGAGUGCAUGAAGCUGGAAUUACUAGUAAUCGUGGAUCAGCGUGCCACGGUGAAUGCGUUCCCGGGUCUUGUACACACCGCCCGUCACACCAUGGGAGUUGGUUCUACCUUAAGGCAAGGUUUCAAACCCUUGACCACGGUAUAGUCAGCGACUGGGGUGAAGUCAUAACAAGGUAGCCGUA
RNAcentral lists this ribosomal RNA (1439 nucleotides) under uncultured bacterium. Its description in RNAcentral is "16S ribosomal RNA". It matches the Rfam family "Bacterial small subunit ribosomal RNA". The record is from RNAcentral.